GUUUAGAAGAACCUGCAUAUGUCAUUGAGAAAAUUGGAAGGAGUUGCAAAAAAAUUUCUGAGCUAAAGAUUAUGGACCCCUGCGAUGUACUGCUUGCAUCUGCACUGGUCGCAUUUCUUCCAAACUUGAAAGUGUUGAGUGUGAGGUGUACGGAGUUACCUAAAUAUGCUUUGGUUAUUCUCUUGGAGGGGUUAAAAAAGUUGAAAGUGCUCAACAUAUCGCAUUGCAUAAUUACUGAAGACCUUCCUCCACCUGCACCUAUGAAAAUUCUAACCGAGCUUGAUGAAUCCAUUCUCAAAAAAGCAUCUAGGUUGGAC
Molecule: unclassified non-coding RNA, 317 nt
Filed under: Hevea brasiliensis (rubber tree)
Lineage: Eukaryota; Viridiplantae; Streptophyta; Magnoliopsida; Malpighiales; Euphorbiaceae
Source: RNAcentral